AGAGUUUGAUCAUGGCUCAGAUUGAACGCUGGCGGCAGGCCUAACACAUGCAAGUCGAACGGUAACAGGAAACAGCUUGCUGUUUCGCUGACGAGUGGCGGACGGGUGAGUAAUGUCUGGGAAACUGCCUGAUGGAGGGGGAUAACUACUGGAAACGGUAGCUAAUACCGCAUAACGUCGCAAGACCAAAGAGGGGGACCUUCGGGCCUCUUGCCAUCAGAUGUGCCCAGAUGGGAUUAGCUAGUAGGUGGGGUAACGGCUCACCUAGGCGACGAUCCCUAGCUGGUCUGAGAGGAUGACCAGCCACACUGGAACUGAGACACGGUCCAGACUCCUACGGGAGGCAGCAGUGGGGAAUAUUGCACAAUGGGCGCAAGCCUGAUGCAGCCAUGCCGCGUGUAUGAAGAAGGCCUUCGGGUUGUAAAGUACUUUCAGCGGGGAGGAAGGGAGUAAAGUUAAUACCUUUGCUCAUUGACGUUACCCACAGAAGAAGCACCGGCUAACUCCGUGCCAGCAGCCGCGGUAAUACGGAGGGUGCAAGCGUUAAUCGGAAUUACUGGGCGUAAAGCGCACGCAGGCGGUUUGUUAAGUCAGAUGUGAAAUCCCCGGGCUCAACCUGGGAACUGCAUCUGAUACUGGCAAGCUUGAGUCUCGUAGAGGGGGGUAGAAUUCCAGGUGUAGCGGUGAAAUGCGUAGAGAUCUGGAGGAAUACCGGUGGCGAAGGCGGCCCCCUGGACGAAGACUGACGCUCAGGUGCGAAAGCGUGGGGAGCAAACAGGAUUAGAUACCCUGGUAGUCCACGCCGUAAACGAUGUCGACUUGGAGGUUGUGCCCUUGAGGCGUGGCUUCCGGAGCUAACGCGUUAAGUCGACCGCCUGGGGAGUACGGCCGCAAGGUUAAAACUCAAAUGAAUUGACGGGGGCCCGCACAAGCGGUGGAGCAUGUGGUUUAAUUCGAUGCAACGCGAAGAACCUUACCUGGUCUUGACAUCCACGGAAGUUUUCAGAGAUGAGAAUGUGCCUUCGGGAACCGUGAGACAGGUGCUGCAUGGCUGUCGUCAGCUCGUGUUGUGAAAUGUUGGGUUAAGUCCCGCAACGAGCGCAACCCUUAUCCUUUGUUGCCAGCGGUCCGGCCGGGAACUCAAAGGAGACUGCCAGUGAUAAACUGGAGGAAGGUGGGGAUGACGUCAAGUCAUCAUGACCCUUACGACCAGGGCUACACACGUGCUACAAUGGCGCAUACAAAGAGAAGCGACCUCGCGAGAGCAAGCGGACCUCAUAAAGUGCGUCGUAGUCCGGAUUGGAGUCUGCAACUCGACUCCAUGAAGUCGGAAUCGCUAGUAAUCGUGGAUCAGAAUGCCACGGUGAAUACGUUCCCGGGCCUUGUACACACCGCCCGUCACACCAUGGGAGUGGGUUGCAAAAGAAGUAGGUAGCUUAACCUUCGGGAGGGCGCUUACCACUUUGUGAUUCAUGACUGGGGUGAAGUCGAAACAAGGUAACCGUAGGGGACCUGCGGUUG
This 1521-nucleotide ribosomal RNA is filed under the name metagenome. RNAcentral's name for it is "bacterial SSU rRNA". It matches the Rfam family "Bacterial small subunit ribosomal RNA". The record is from RNAcentral.